GCCAGUGUGGUGUAGUGGUUUGACUAUUGGACUAGGGCUCUGGAGACUAGGGCUCAAAUCCCUGCUUGGCCA
This is a non-coding RNA of Phrynosoma platyrhinos (Desert horned lizard), 72 nucleotides long. The record is from the annotation of a GenBank genome assembly. NCBI's taxonomy places the organism in Eukaryota, Metazoa, Chordata, Lepidosauria, Squamata, Phrynosomatidae.